UAACGCGAAGAACCUUACCAAGGCUUGACAUGGACCGGACCGGGCUGGAAACAGUCCUUCCCCUUUGGGGCCGGUUCACAGGUGGUGCAUGGUUGUCGUCAGCUCGUGUCGUGAGAUGUCGGGUUAAGUCCCGCAACGAGCGCAACCCUCGUUCCAUGUUGCCAGCGCGUAAUGGCGGGGACUCAUGGGAGACUGCCGGGGUCAACUCGGAGGAAGGUGGGGACGACGUCAAAUCAUCAUGCCCCUUAUGUCUUGGGCUUCACGCAUGCUACAAUGGCCGGUACAAAGGGUUGCGAUACUGUGAGGUGGAGCUAAUCCCAAAAAGCCGGUCUCAGUUCGGAUUGGGGUCUGCAACUCGACCCCAUGAAGUCGGAGUCGCUAGUAAUCGCAGAUCAGCAACGCUGCGGUGAAUACGUUCCCGGGUCUUGUACACACCGA
Molecule: ribosomal RNA, 438 nt
Filed under: uncultured bacterium
Lineage: Bacteria
Description: bacterial SSU rRNA
Rfam family: Bacterial small subunit ribosomal RNA
Source: RNAcentral